Molecule: unclassified non-coding RNA, 270 nt
Filed under: Hevea brasiliensis (rubber tree)
Lineage: Eukaryota; Viridiplantae; Streptophyta; Magnoliopsida; Malpighiales; Euphorbiaceae
Source: RNAcentral
AACAGCCUUCAGUCUUCCUCCUCUUCAAACCUCACAUGCUUCCCCUCAGGCACAGGCAGCCCCUUCAACACCAGAGCACCCUCUGGCACCACCUUCCCAACUUCUUCCUCACCUUCAAUCUCGCCCUCGCUGUUGUAGAUGAACCGAGUGUGUUUCCCCACAAACUCAGGCAGCCUCGCCUUCUCCUGCACCGACAUGUUCGUCAGAAUGUCGCAAAGAUCAUCAUAGCACUCCCCAUCCUCUUCUUGGUACUCAUCUUCGCCAUCUUCG